Molecule: long non-coding RNA, 513 nt
Organism: Manduca sexta (tobacco hornworm)
Lineage: Eukaryota; Metazoa; Arthropoda; Insecta; Lepidoptera; Sphingidae
Exons: 2
Source: RefSeq, a predicted model, not a curated record
GUUCAGUUAGAUUCGAGUGCGGCGUUGCUGAAACUGGCAGAUAUCUUGCACUAACUAGAAAGAAUAAUUGUAAUUAAAAUCGGUGGCUGUUAUAACAUAAGGGCGCUUCGCAUUUAUAUAGACUCGGGGCGCAGGCUUCGCGGCUCUGAACGUGUGGCUGUGCGGCGGGCCGCACGCGCCAUCGCAGGUUUUAAUUCUAUAUCGUGCAGUGAAUAUUUUAUUUUCAUCGUUAUAAUACCGUAUAAAAUUAUAAAUCACAUGGUUAUUGUUAAAUUAUGCGCGUUUAGUGUCAUUUUUUUUUAAUCAGUGUUUGUGGUGAAAUAAAAUUGUGAUCGUAUCAUAUCUCUUUAAAAGUAGCAACGUUUGCAUGCUGCAAACAGUACGUUAAGGCGUAGUGUGAAGAAAAUUAUGUGGCUGGGGAUCGAGCUAUAAACUUCCUACAUCAAGUAGUAUCGUAUAAGAGUAGCUUCCGGUAGUCCACCGAACUGACGUUUCUAAGAUGAAUGACGAAAA